UUUACUUGUGCAGGGUCUCCUCUCCGCAGACAUUGUGUUUAAAGCUCUGAAGGACUGCGCGGCCUCAGAUCCAACGAGGCUGCGACGUACGUGAGGCGCCUCAGCACGGUAUCGUGCACGGUAAGUCUGGGCCGCAAGCAUAGGGUUUUGACUGCUGUUCGCGCUUAAAUGCAACCGUUAGUCGUUGGAAUCCGCAUGUUUAACCGUGUCAUCUUUACUUGUGCAGGGUCUCCUCUCCGCAGACAUUGUGUUUAAAGCUCUGAAGGACUGCGCGGCCUCACAUCCAACGAGGCUGCGACGUACGUGAGGCGCCUCAGCACGGUAUCGUGCACGGUAAGUCUGGGCCGCAAGCAUAGGGUUUUGACUGCUGUUCGCGCUUAAAUGCAACCGUUAGUCGUUGGAAUCCGCAUGUUUAACCGUGUCAUCUUUACUUGUGCAGGGUCUCCUCUCCGCAGACAUUGUGUUUAAAGCUCUGAAGGACUGCGCGGCCUCAGAUCCAACGAGGCUGCGACGUACGUGAGGCGCCUCAGCACGGUAUCGUGCACGGUAAGUCUGGGCCGCAAGCAUAGGGUUUUGACUGCUGUUCGCGCUUAAAUGCAACCGUUAGUCGUUGGAAUCCGCAUGUUUAACCGUGUCAUCUUUACUUGUGCAGGGUCUCCUCUCCGCAGACAUUGUGUUUAAAGCUCUGAAGGACUGCGCGGCCUCACAUCCAACGAGGCUGCGACGUACGUGAGGCGCCUCAGCACGGUAUCGUGCACGGUAAGUCUGGGCCGCAAGCAUAGGGUUUUGACUGCUGUUCGCGCUUAAAUGCAACCGUUAGUCGUUGGAAUCCGCAUGUUUAACCGUGUCAUCUUUACUUGUGCAGGGUCUCCUCUCCGCAGACAUUGUGUUUAAAGCUCUGAAGGACUGCGCGGCCUCACAUCCAACGAGGCUGCGACGUACGUGAGGCGCCUCAGCACGGUAUCGUGCACGGUAAGUCUGGGCCGCAAGCAUAGGGUUUUGACUGCUGUUCGCGCUUAAAUGCAACCGUUAGUCGUUGGAAUCCGCAUGUUUAACCGUGUCAUCUUUACUUGUGCAG
RNAcentral lists this long non-coding RNA (1078 nucleotides) under Volvox carteri. RNAcentral describes it as "long non-coding RNA (VCAR_LNC001867)". Lineage: Eukaryota; Viridiplantae; Chlorophyta; Chlorophyceae; Chlamydomonadales; Volvocaceae. The record is from RNAcentral.